Molecule: ribosomal RNA, 253 nt
Filed under: uncultured bacterium
Lineage: Bacteria
Description: partial 16S ribosomal RNA
Rfam family: Bacterial small subunit ribosomal RNA
Source: RNAcentral
UACGUAGGUGGCGAGCGUUGUCCGGAAUUACUGGGCGUAAAGGGCGCGUAGGCGGCAGCCUAAGUCAGAUGUGAAAACCCGGGGCUUAACUCCGGGACUGCAUUUGAAACUGGGCAGCUUGAGUGCAGGAGAGGAAAGCGGAAUUCCUAGUGUAGCGGUGAAAUGCGUAGAUAUUAGGAGGAACACCAGUGGCGAAGGCGGCUUUCUGGACUGUAACUGACGCUGAGGCGCGAAAGCGUGGGGAGCAAACAGG